UACGUAGGGGGCUAGCGUUGUCCGGAAUCAUUGGGCGUAAAGCGCGCGUAGGCGGCCCGGUAAGUCCGCUGUGAAAGUCAAAGGCUCAACCUUUGAAUGUCAGCGGAUACUGCCGGCUAGAGUCCGGAAGAGGCGAGUGGAAUUCCUGGUGUAGCGGUGAAAUGCGCAGAUAUCAGGAGGAACACCGAUGGCGAAGGCAGCUCGCUGGGACGGUACUGACGCUGAGCGCGAAAGCGUGGGGAGCAAACAGG
RNAcentral lists this ribosomal RNA (251 nucleotides) under uncultured bacterium. Its description in RNAcentral is "partial 16S ribosomal RNA". It matches the Rfam family "Bacterial small subunit ribosomal RNA", at positions 524 to 776 of the family's 1533-position model. The record is from RNAcentral.